This 379-nucleotide ribosomal RNA is filed under the name uncultured Pseudobdellovibrionaceae bacterium. RNAcentral describes it as "bacterial SSU rRNA". It matches the Rfam family "Bacterial small subunit ribosomal RNA", at positions 523 to 898 of the family's 1533-position model. Lineage: Bacteria; Pseudomonadati; Bdellovibrionota; Bdellovibrionia; Bdellovibrionales; Pseudobdellovibrionaceae. The record is from RNAcentral.
AUACGGAGGGUGCAAGCGUUGCUCGGAAUCACUGGGCGUAAAGAGAGCGUAGGCGGAUAAUUUAGUCAGAUGUGAAAGCCCGGAGCUCAACUCCGGAAUUGCAUCUGAAACUGGUUAUCUAGAGUACAGGAGAGGAGAGUGGAAUUCCUGGUGUAGAGGUGAAAUUCGCUGAUAUCAGGAGGAACACCCGUGGCGAAGGCGACUCUCUGGUCUGAUACUGACGCUGAGGCUCGAAAGUGUGGGGAGCAAACAGGAUUAGAUACCCUGGUAGUCCACAACUGUAAACGAUGAAUGCUCGACGUGUGUCCCGUUUUGCCGGACGCGUGUCCAAGCUAACGCAAUAAGCAUUCCGCCUGGGGAGUACGGUCGCAAGACUAAA